GACGAACGCUGGCGGCGUGCUUAACACAUGCAGGUCGAGCGGUAAGGCCUUUCGGGGUACACGAGCGGCGAACGGGUGAGUAACACGUGGGUGAUCUGCUCUGCACUUCGGGAUAAGCCUGGGAAACUGGGUCUAAUACCGGAUAUGACCUCCUAUCGCAUGGUGGGUGGUGGAAAGAUUUAUCGGUGCAGGAUGGGCCCGCGGCCUAUCAGCUUGUUGGUGGGGUAAUGGCCUACCAAGGCGACGACGGGUAGCCGACCUGAGAGGGUGACCGGCCACACUGGGACUGAGACACGGCCCAGACUCCUACGGGAGGCAGCAGUGGGGAAUAUUGCACAAUGGGCGAAAGCCUGAUGCAGCGACGCCGCGUGAGGGAUGACGGCCUUCGGGUUGUAAACCUCUUUCAGCAGGGACGAAGCGCAAGUGACGGUACCUGCAGAAGAAGCACCGGCUAACUACGUG
This 462-nucleotide ribosomal RNA is filed under the name uncultured bacterium. RNAcentral describes it as "partial 16S ribosomal RNA". It matches the Rfam family "Bacterial small subunit ribosomal RNA", at positions 28 to 507 of the family's 1533-position model. The record is from RNAcentral.